CGUGUGAUGAGUGAAU
RNAcentral lists this ribosomal RNA (16 nucleotides) under Laetisaria arvalis. RNAcentral describes it as "partial 28S ribosomal RNA". The record is from RNAcentral. Lineage: Eukaryota; Fungi; Basidiomycota; Agaricomycetes; Corticiales; Corticiaceae.